RNAcentral lists this small RNA (184 nucleotides) under insect gut metagenome. RNAcentral's name for it is "M-box riboswitch (ykoK leader)". It matches the Rfam family "M-box riboswitch aptamer (ykoK leader)", at positions 11 to 159 of the family's 169-position model. Rfam says of the family: M-box riboswitch, also know as ykoK leader is described as a metaloregulatory RNA that sense divalent metals and function as a genetic control element of genes related to divalent metal transport in bacteria. It was first reported upstream of the B.subtilis ykoK gene and genes with related functions in other bacteria. Phylogenetic analysis of the distribution of M-box RNAs across bacterial genomes revealed that M-box riboswitches are most often employed for the regulation of Mg2+ transporter genes The record is from RNAcentral.
AAUAAUCGGUAGGUGAGGCUACCGUGGGGAUAUUAUUCUAUUAUUUUAGAAUUAAGGGUUGCUGCCGCAAAAUAGUGGAGACACUAUUAUGUUGGUUAACAGAUUAUAUCGACAUAAGGUAUAGUUUAAUGCAAUUUCAAGAUGUAAAAUAUCGUGCCCUACGAAGCUAAAGCUUGUACGAUGC